Molecule: ribosomal RNA, 207 nt
Filed under: uncultured bacterium
Lineage: Bacteria
Description: partial 16S ribosomal RNA
Rfam family: Bacterial small subunit ribosomal RNA
Source: RNAcentral
UCUCAGUUCGGAUUGGAGUCUGCAACCCGACUCCAUGAAGCUGGAUUCGCUAGUAAUCGCGCAUCAGCCACGGCGCGGUGAAUACGUUCCCGGGCCUUGUACACACCGCCCGUCAAGCCAUGGAAGCCGGGAGUGCCUGAAGUGCGCGACCGCAAGGAGCGUCCUAAGGCAAUACCGGUGACUGGGGCUAAGUCGUAACAAGGUAAC